UGUUGAUGGUGUGGGCAGUCCCUGAGAAGAGAUUUGAAUAUCUCUCAAGCAUGAUAUAAGUUCUCAUCUGGCUUUUGCUUAAAACUCAGGAUCUCACUUCUUAAUCU
Non-coding RNA from Capsicum annuum, 107 nucleotides. The record is from Rfam. NCBI's taxonomy places the organism in Eukaryota, Viridiplantae, Streptophyta, Magnoliopsida, Solanales, Solanaceae.